Molecule: ribosomal RNA, 468 nt
Filed under: uncultured bacterium
Lineage: Bacteria
Description: partial 16S ribosomal RNA
Rfam family: Bacterial small subunit ribosomal RNA
Source: RNAcentral
GACGAACGCUGGCGGCGUGCUUAACACAUGCAAGUCGAACGGAAAGGCCCUGCUUUUGUGGGGUGCUCGAGUGGCGAACGGGUGAGUAACACGUGAGUAACCUGCCCUGGACUUUGGGAUAACUUCAGGAAACUGGGGCUAAUACCUGAGAGGAGCUCCUGCUGGAGGGUGGGGGUUGGAAAGUUUCGGCGGUUGGGGAUGGACUCGCGGCUUACCAGCUUGUUGGUGGGGUAGUGGCUUACCAAGGCUUUGACGGGUAGCCGGCCUGAGAGGGUGACCGGCCACAUUGGGACUGAGAGACGGCCCAGACUCCUACGGGAGGCAGCAGUGGGGAAUAUUGCACAAUGGGCGGAAGCCUGAUGCAGCAACGCCGCGUGCGGGAUGACGGCCUUCGGGUUGUAAACCGCUUUCGCCUGUGACGAAGCGUGAGUGACGGUAAUGGGUAAAGAAGCACCGGCUAACUACGUG